UUGAUCCUGGCUCAGGACGAACGCUGGCGGCGUGCCUAAUACAUGCAAGUCGAGCGAGCCGAACUAAUUGAUUACCUUCGGGUAUGAAGUUAGGGAAGCGAGCGGCGGAUGGGUGAGUAACACGUGGGUAACCUACCCUAUAGUCUGGGAUACCACUUGGAAACAGGUGCUAAUACCGGAUAAAAGGAGAGAUCACAUGAUUUCUUUUUGAAAGGCGGCGUAAGCUGUCGCUAAAGGAUGGACCCGCGGUGCAUUAGCUAGUUGGUAAGGUAACGGCUUACCAAGGCAACGAUGCAUAGCCGAGUUGAGAGACUGAUCGGCCACAUUGGGACUGAGACAUGGCCAAACUUCUCUUACGGAGAGGGCCAGGCAGUAGAUUCUUCACACAAUGGAUCGCCAAGUUCUGAUGGAGGCACGCCGCGUGGGGUGAAGAAGUUUUCGGAUCGUAAAGCUCUGUUGUUGGUGAAGAAAAGAUAGUGAGAGUAACUGCUCAUUAUUUGCCGGUAAUCAACCAGAAAGUCACGGCUAACUACGUGCCAGCAGCCGCGGUAAUACGUAGGUGGCAAGCGUUGUCCCGGAUUUAUUGGGCGUAAAGCGAGCGCAGGCGGAAAGAUAAGUCAGAUGUGAAAGCCCUCGGCUUAACCGAGGAAUAGCAUCGGAAACUGUCUUUCUUGAGUGCAGAAGAGGAGAGUGGAACUCCAUGUGUAGCGGUGGAAUGCGUAGAUAUAUGGAAGAACACCAGUGGCGAAGGCGGCUCUCUGGUCUGUAACUGACGCUGAGGCUCGAAAGCAUGGGUAGCGAACAGGAUUAGAUACCCUGGUAGUCCAUGCUGUAAACGAUGAGUGCUAAGUGUUGGGAGGUUUCCGCCUCUCAGUGCUGCAGCUAACGCAUUAAGCACUCCGCCUGGGGAGUACGACCGCAAGGUCAAAACUCAAAGGAAUUGACGGGGGCCCGCACAAGCGGUGGAGCAUGUGGUUUAAUUCGAAGCAACGCGAAGAACCUUACCAGGUCUUGACAUCUAGUGCCAACCUAAGAGAUUAGGCGUUCCCUUCGGGGACCUAAGAACAGGUGGUGCAUGGCUGUCGUCAGCUCGUGUCGUGAGAGUUGGGUUAAGUCCCGAACGAGCCAACCCUUAUUAUUAGUUGCCAGCAUUAAGUGGGCACUCUAAUGAGACUGCCGGUGACAAACCGGAGGAAGUGGGAGUGACGUCAAGUCAUCAUGCCCCUUAUGACCUGGGCCACACACGUGCUACAAUGGGCAGUACAACGAGGAGCGAACUUGUGAAGGCAAGCGAAUCUCUGAAAGCUGUUCUCAGUUCGGACUGUAGGCUGCAACUCGCCUACACGAAGCUGGAAUCGCUAGUAAUCGCGGAUCAGCACGCCGCGGUGAAUACG
RNAcentral lists this ribosomal RNA (1394 nucleotides) under uncultured Lactobacillus sp. RNAcentral's name for it is "bacterial SSU rRNA". It matches the Rfam family "Bacterial small subunit ribosomal RNA", at positions 13 to 1370 of the family's 1533-position model. Lineage: Bacteria; Bacillati; Bacillota; Bacilli; Lactobacillales; Lactobacillaceae. The record is from RNAcentral.